Zingiber officinale is the source of this 516-nucleotide long non-coding RNA. RefSeq lists it as uncharacterized. The record is from RefSeq and is a predicted model, not a curated record. The transcript is spliced from 4 exons. Lineage: Eukaryota; Viridiplantae; Streptophyta; Magnoliopsida; Zingiberales; Zingiberaceae.
GAUAAUAACAUGAUUGCUGCUGGAAUGGAAGAUUCUAGUAUUUUGAUCUAUAAUAUUCGGAUUGAUGAGAUAUUUUGAAGGUAAAUGGAUGUAUUCAGGAACUCCAACUAAACAGUUCAGGUAUUGGAGAUGAGGGUGCAAGGGUUAUUGCAGAUAUGCUGAAAGAAAAUCAAACUUUACGUGUACUGGAACUUAACAAUAAUAUGAUUGAAUAUUCUGGUUUUGCAAGUCUUGCUGGAGCACUAGUUGAGAAUAAGGCAAUUCGAUCUAUACAUCUCAAGCUAAUAAGACUUACACACACUUAGAUUUUCUAUCCAUGCAGUUCUUUCUUGCAGAUUUAAUUUCUUCAUCAGAUCUGUUGGCUUUCCAGUAUUUAUUGAUUGUACUACUUCUCAGCAAUUAUGUAAAACUAUAUUUCUUCUUGUUUAGGAAAAAUAACACUUCUAGAUAUUGGCAACAAUGAGAUUGGUCCCAAAGGCGCCUUUAGCAUCGCUGAGUUUGUUAAGAAAACUAAGU